UACGAAGGGAGCAAGCGUUGUUCGGAUUUACUGGGCGUAAAGAGUGCGUAGGCGGUUUGGUAAGUUGGAUGUGAAAGCCCCGAGCUUAACUUGGGAACUGCAUUCAAAACUGCCAGGCUUGAGUGUGGAAGAGGAUGGCGGAAUUCCCGGUGUAGAGGUGAAAUUCGUAGAUAUCGGGAAGAACACCUGUGGCGAAGGCGGCCAUCUGGUCCAUAACUGACGCUGAGGCACGAAAGCGUGGGGAGCAAACAGG
This 253-nucleotide ribosomal RNA is filed under the name uncultured bacterium. RNAcentral's name for it is "partial 16S ribosomal RNA". It matches the Rfam family "Bacterial small subunit ribosomal RNA", at positions 524 to 776 of the family's 1533-position model. The record is from RNAcentral.